This 392-nucleotide ribosomal RNA is filed under the name uncultured bacterium. Its description in RNAcentral is "bacterial SSU rRNA". It matches the Rfam family "Bacterial small subunit ribosomal RNA", at positions 28 to 421 of the family's 1533-position model. The record is from RNAcentral.
GGCGAACGCUGGCGGCGUGCUUAACACAUGCAAGUCGAGCGAGGCCCACCUUUCGGGGUGGUGUCCUAGCGGCGAACGGGUGAGUAACACGUGGGCAACCUGCCCUCAGCUCUGGGAUAACUCCAAGAAAUUGGGGCUAAUACCGGAUAUGACUGCUGACCGCAUGGUCUGGUGGUGGAAAGAUUUAUCGGCUGGGGAUGGGCCCGCGGCCUAUCAGCUUGUUGGUGGGGUAGGGCCUACCAAGGCGACGACGGGUAGCCGGCCUGAGAGGGUGACCGGCCACACUGGGACUGAGACACGGCCCAGACUCCUACGGGAGGCAGCAGUGGGGAAUAUUGCGCAAUGGGCGAAAGCCUGACGCAGCGACGCCGCGUGGGGAUGACGGCCUGUGU